CCUACGGGUGGCAUCAGUGAGGAAUAUUGGUCAAUGGGCGCGAGCCUGAACCAGCCACGUAGCGUGAAGGAUGACUGCCCUCCGGGUUGUAAACUUCUUUUAUAAAGGAAUAAAGUGAGGCACGUAUGCCUUUUUCCAUGUACUUUAUGAAUAAGGAUCGGCUAACUACGUUCCAGCAGCCGCGGUACUACGGAGGAUCCGAGCGUUAUCCGGAUUGAUUGGGUUUAAAGGGAGCGUAGAUGGGUUGUUAAGUCAGUUGUGAAAGUUUGCGGCUCAACCGUAAAAUUGCAAUUGAUACUGGCAGUCUUGAGUACAGAUGAGGUAGGCGGAAUGCGUGGUGUAGCGGUGAAAUGCUUAGAUAUCACGAAGAACUCCGAUUGCGAAGGCAGCUUACUAAACUGUGACUGACAUUGAUGCUCGAAAGUGUGGGUAUCAAACAGGAUUAGAUACCCCAGUAGUC
This 460-nucleotide ribosomal RNA is filed under the name uncultured bacterium. RNAcentral describes it as "partial 16S ribosomal RNA". It matches the Rfam family "Bacterial small subunit ribosomal RNA", at positions 338 to 795 of the family's 1533-position model. The record is from RNAcentral.